Molecule: small RNA, 2876 nt
Filed under: Pyricularia oryzae
Lineage: Eukaryota; Fungi; Ascomycota; Sordariomycetes; Magnaporthales; Pyriculariaceae
Description: Magnaporthe oryzae sRNA M_BR32_EuGene_00145881
Source: RNAcentral
UUUUUAACGAUUAUUGGAACGUUUUUAUCAUUUUUAUUAACUAUGGAACUGCUUAUUCGAUUUAAAUUGGUGGAAAAUCAAAAACCCUCCUCAAAUACCGGAAUAAUUACAAAAUAGUUUAAAAAUGCAAAAAAUAAUUAAAAAUUAGGUAAAACGGUAUUUAAAUUAUUACGGAUAUUUUAAUAAUUUUGGCGCUGGUUUGUGGGUUAUUAAAAACCUUUUAAAUUUCCAAAUAAUUUUGUUUAAAACAAAAUUACUUUAUAUCACCUUAUUUCCGAUAGUGGGAAGGUAUUUAUAUAGUUACCAAUAAUGCGAUGGACGUACCUUUCGGGAUAUCGCAAAGAAAAUACAAUUAAAAUGUGAAAAAUAUCUUUUAAAAUAUAUUUUAUAUUUGCUCCUGUUUAAUUUUAUAAUUUAUACCCUCUAAUUAUUUUUUGGGCCAAAAAAACCUGCAAAGUUCGUUAUAUUGUUUCAAAUGGUUAAAAAAUGGUUAAUAACAGCGGUAGCGAUGGGGAGCGGAAUAUUUAAAUUAAGGAAAUUUUUCGCGACACCUAUUCCAUCCCUUUAUACAAUUGGCGCUCCAAUUAACCGGUAAAUAUUUUGUCUUUUAUUUGCAUUUUCCAUUAAUAAUUACUUCUUUUAACAAUUUACCCGCAGAUAUAUUAGUAAUAAGCCAGGGUAAUCCGUGGGAUAUAACCCUGUAAAAUAAUCCACAAAUAAUAUUAGUAAAAAUAUACCUGAGGUUACCUAAUACCGCAUAUAAUAGCUAUAAUAUUAAUCGUUCGUUUAACUAAACAAUUACGCAAACCUGAAUUUUCUCAGCUAUGCAGGAGAAUUUUAUAUCCGCGGUUUGGAGCAAAAGCGCAAUCCGAUUUAAGGGCCUGGGGCGAUAAAUUGCGGGGUUCGGUGUUUUAUUGCGAUAAUGGGGGUUUACGGGCGGACCGUUUCACAUUUUUUCCACCAUGCAGGAGGUUAUUUGUUUGUAUCCGAUUGGGAAAAAUAUACAAAAAUGCGUGUUAGGGUAUACGAAUAAUCCUUAUUUAACGUUUUGCAUUUUAAUAUUUUAUUACACCGGUUUGUUUCCAAGCAAUUACAAAAUUAAUUCCGUGCAAGUGCCUAUAGCUUAAAAAUAACGUUAUUUGUUAAUUUCCCAGGGUCCGCUGCUUGUUACAAAUUAAAUAUAUUUUAUAAAUGUUCUUUAUUAAUUAAUAAGUUAAUUAUAAACGCAAUACAAUUUAUCGUCGUAUAGGAUAAAUAACCGUUUGCAUAUAGUAUAAUACCGCGUUAUUUUAAUAUAAUAUGGUGGAAAUAAACAAAAAAAUAACAAUAUAUAUAUAUAAAGAAUUUGUCAAUUUAGAAAAUGCGGUAGUAAAUUGUGGUAUUAUAUUGGAAAUAUUGGUAAAAAAUAAUAAAACGGCCUCGUUUAAUUUACAUUCUUUUUUUUAACAUUUGGCCCUUAAUUAAUUAAGCCUUUUAUCAGUUAUUAUUAAAGUCGAUAUUAGUAUUUAGCAUUUUUUAAUAUCGAAAUAAAUAUUUUAAUAUUCCCCAAACCGCAAUACCAAUUUUAUAAAUAUUUGGAAUUUAUAUUUGUUACGUUUGGCCGUGGCCGGUUUGUUACAAAAUAACAAUAACGCCGCUGGGAUACCGCUUCCCUCGGGGGAUCCAAAUUUGUAAUAUUUGGAAAAUUUCCCGGUUUUUUUUAAAACGCCAUAACAGCAGCUGGAAAAGUUUCAAAAUUAAAUUUGUCCUUUUUUAAAGCGGCUUUUGCUCCGACAUUAAUAUUUCUUUGCAAAAGGCGUUCCAACACGGGUCCAACACCUAUAACACCCUGUCGAUUACCGAUUAAAAUAUUAUAUAUAACGUUUUGAAACAAAGAUGUUAUUCUAACCAAUUAAAGAGGUACAAAUUCGUUAUUUUUGGUAAUAAUUACCAAAAUAUUAAACUUCCUGCAGGGAUUAUAUUCCAGGAUUUUUUACCUUCCCGGCCGCGAAAUAACAGCGUUCCGAAACGACGGGCAAUGGUUAUCGAUUGUAAAAUGGUGGGUAUAAAAGCUCCAACAGCAAUUAAACAAUAAUAUUAAAACCAGGUUGGAUUUGCGUUUGAAGGGAAAGUUUAUUUUAAAGGCAGUCUUUUAUCGUUACAUUAACCAAUCCAUUAAAAAAACAACCGAAACCCAAAUGGGAAAUUAAGGAAAUUUGCGCCAGGCAGGAUCGUAGCAACCAAUUUAGUGCGUUAAACCUAUUUUCCUAAAACAAUACCCAAAAUAUUUGCCGAAAUCGGAAAAUAUAGCAAUGUUAAUAAUAACCGUAUUAUAACAAAAAUACCCGCUACCAUCGCCUAAUUACCGCCAAAUAAAAGAUUUACCCCGCAUUUGGCUAUUUUUCCUUUGCAAAUUAAAUUAUAUAUCCAUUAUUGGUUAUACCUGUAGAAAAUUUUCCGCAAUCCAAAUAUUCGUUCGUAAUUUAUAUAAAUAAUAACCGCCGAAUUUCUAUUUGUAAGAUAUACCAAAGGAUAGCAGCAAAUCUCCCGCAUAGUACUGUGGCAAAUUUUUAACACCAAUUGUAAAUUUCCAAUAUAUUUAAUAAAUAGGUAUAUUGGUAAGUGGAGCAUUUUGCGCAUUCGUAACCCCAUUUUGGCAGCGCAAAUUAUAAACGGAUUAAUAUAAUAUUGCAAAAAACAGGCCAGUUGGUUGGGCUGCGUUUGUGCAAUAUAACCAACCAAUCGGAUAAAUUCCUUUAUAUAGGGUUGCGUAAUAACACUCAAAUUGUGGGUGGUAAAUUUAUAUAAUAUUAUCUUCGUAAAAUUAUUAGAAUAUUAUUAAAGGGUGUUUGGCGUUUUGUUUAAUUAAUAGCGUAAAGCAAAGGAGUUUUAUUUAA